UGUGCCAGCAGUCGCGGUAAUACAAAGAGGGUAAGCAUUAAUCAUAAUGGUUUAAAGGAUCCGUAGAAUUAAUAUUAUUAUAUAUAUAUAUAUAAUAAAUUAGAGUUAAUAAAUUUAAUUAAAGAAUUAUAAUAGUAAAGAUGAAAUAAUUAUAAUAAUUAUAAGACUGAUAUAUGUGAAAAUAUUAAUUAAAUAUUAACUGACAUUGAGGGAUGAAAACUAAAGUAGCAAAACAGAUUCGAUACCUGUGUAGUUUUAGUAGUAAACUAUGAAUACUAUUAUUUAUAUAUAAUAUAUAAAUAAUAAACGAAAGUGUAAGUAUUCCACCUGAAGAGUACGUUAAUGAAACUCAAAACAAUAGACGGUUAUAGUCAACAACAGUGGAGCAU
This 389-nucleotide ribosomal RNA is filed under the name Naumovozyma castellii. Its description in RNAcentral is "partial small subunit ribosomal RNA". It matches the Rfam family "Bacterial small subunit ribosomal RNA", at positions 504 to 940 of the family's 1533-position model. Lineage: Eukaryota; Fungi; Ascomycota; Saccharomycetes; Saccharomycetales; Saccharomycetaceae. The record is from RNAcentral.